RNAcentral lists this ribosomal RNA (253 nucleotides) under uncultured bacterium. RNAcentral describes it as "partial 16S ribosomal RNA". It matches the Rfam family "Bacterial small subunit ribosomal RNA", at positions 524 to 776 of the family's 1533-position model. The record is from RNAcentral.
UACGUAGGGUGCGAGCGUUGUCCGGAAUUACUGGGCGUAAAGAGCUCGUAGGUGGUUUGUCGCGUUGUUCGUGAAAACUCACAGCUUAACUGUGGGCGUGCGGGCGAUACGGGCAGACUGGAGUACUGCAGGGGAGACUGGAAUUCCUGGUGUAGCGGUGGAAUGCGCAGAUAUCAGGAGGAACACCGGUGGCGAAGGCGGGUCUCUGGGCAGUAACUGGCGCUGAGGAGCGAAAGCGUGGGGAGCGAACAGG